This 465-nucleotide ribosomal RNA is filed under the name uncultured bacterium. RNAcentral's name for it is "partial 16S ribosomal RNA". It matches the Rfam family "Bacterial small subunit ribosomal RNA", at positions 338 to 795 of the family's 1533-position model. The record is from RNAcentral.
CCUACGGGGGGCUGCAGUGGGGAAUAUUGCGCAAUGGGCGAAAGCCUGAUGCAGCGACGCCGCGUGAGGGAUGAAGGUCUUCGGAUCGUAAACCUCUGUCAGCAGGGAAGAACGGUCACUGUGCUAAUCAGCAGUGAAUUGACGGUACCUGCAAAGGAAGCACCGGCUAACUCCGUGCCAGCAGCCGCGGUAAGACGGAGGGUGCGAGCGUUAAUCGGAAUUACUGGGCGUAAAGCGCUCGUAGGCGGUAUGUCAAGUCAAGGGUGAAAUCCCCGCGCUCAACGUGGGAACUGCCUUUGAAACUGGCAAACUGGAGUGUGUGAGAGGAUAGUGGAAUGCCAGGUGUAGGAGUGAAAUCCGUAGAUAUCUGGAGGAUCAUCAGUGGCGAAGGCGACUAUCUGGCACAUAACUGACGCUGAGGAGCGAAAGCGUGGGUAGCAAACAGGAUUAGAUACCCUAGUAGUC